AAAUUGAAGAGUUUGAUCAUGGCUCAGAUUGAACGCUGGCGGCAGGCCUAACACAUGCAAGUCGAACGGUAACAGGAAGCAGCUUGCUGCUUUGCUGACGAGUGGCGGACGGGUGAGUAAUGUCUGGGAAACUGCCUGAUGGAGGGGGAUAACUAAACUA
RNAcentral lists this ribosomal RNA (160 nucleotides) under Salmonella enterica. RNAcentral's name for it is "partial 16S ribosomal RNA". It matches the Rfam family "Bacterial small subunit ribosomal RNA", at positions 1 to 154 of the family's 1533-position model. The record is from RNAcentral. Lineage: Bacteria; Pseudomonadati; Pseudomonadota; Gammaproteobacteria; Enterobacterales; Enterobacteriaceae.